RNAcentral lists this ribosomal RNA (253 nucleotides) under uncultured bacterium. RNAcentral describes it as "partial 16S ribosomal RNA". It matches the Rfam family "Bacterial small subunit ribosomal RNA", at positions 524 to 776 of the family's 1533-position model. The record is from RNAcentral.
GACGAAGGUGGCGACCGUUGUUCGGAAUCACUGGGCAUAAAGAGCACGUAGGCGGCGAGGUAUGUCGGGUGUGAAAUCCCUCGGCCCAACCGAGGAAUUGCGCCCGAAACUACCUUGCUUGAGGAUGGAAGGGGAGCGUGGAAUUCCUGGUGGAGCGGUGAAAUGCGUUGAUAUCAGGAGGAACACCGGCGGCGAAGGCGACGCUCUGGUCCAUUUCUGACGCUGAGGUGCGAAAGCCAGGGGAGCAAACGGG